This 616-nucleotide ribosomal RNA is filed under the name uncultured marine bacterium. RNAcentral's name for it is "bacterial SSU rRNA". It matches the Rfam family "Bacterial small subunit ribosomal RNA", at positions 870 to 1498 of the family's 1533-position model. The record is from RNAcentral.
CGCCUGGGAGUACGACCGCAAGGNUNAAACUCAAAUGAAUUGACGGGGACCCGCACAAGUAGUGGAGCAUGUGGUUUAUUCGAAGAUACGCGCAGAACUUACCAACACUUGACAUGUUCGUCGCGACUUAAGAGAUUAGAGUUUUCGGUUCGGCCGGACGAAACACAGGUGCUGCAUGGCUGUCGUCAGCUCGUGUCGUGAGAUGUUGGGUUAAGUCCCGCAACGAGCGCAACCCUCACUUUUAGUUGCCAUCAUUUAGUUGGGCACUCUGAAAGAACUGCCAGUGAUAAGCUGGAGGAAGGUGGGGAUGACGUCAAGUCCUCAUGGCCCUUACGUGUUGGGCUACACACGUGCUACAAUGGUAUCUACAACAGGAAGCAAAACUGCGAAGUUAAGCAAAUCCUUAAAAGAUACCUCAGUUCGGAUUGCACUCUGCAACUCGAGUGCAUGAAGCUGGAAUUACUAGUAAUCGUGGAUCAGCGUGCCACGGUGAAUGCGUUCCCGGGUCUUGUACACACCGCCCGUCACACCAUGGGAGUUGGUUCUACCUUAAGGCAAGGUUUAAAACCCUUGACCACGGUAUAGUCAGCGACUGGGGUGAAGUCGUAACAAGGUA